Molecule: ribosomal RNA, 253 nt
Filed under: uncultured bacterium
Lineage: Bacteria
Description: partial 16S ribosomal RNA
Rfam family: Bacterial small subunit ribosomal RNA
Source: RNAcentral
UACGUAGGGGGCAAGCGUUGUCCGGAAUUAUUGGGCGUAAAGAGCGCGUAGGCGGUCCGGUAAGUCGGCUGUGAAAACUCGAGGCUCAACCUCGAGACGUCGGCGGAAACCAUCUGGCUAGAGUCCGGAAGAGGAGAGUGGAAUUCCUGGUGUAGCGGUGAAAUGCGCAGAGAUUGGGAAGAACACCGGUGGCGAAAGCGCUCUGCUAGGACAAUACUGACACUGAGGGACGAAAGCUAGGGGAGCGAAUGGG